AAAAAAAAAAAAAACCUGUAAAUCAUAAUUCGUAUUCUUAUUCUGUCACCAAAAUCGGCUUAGAUGUAUUCCUGGAGCAGUGUUUUUAAUUUUGUUAUCUACCAAUUUAUUUGUUUCUUGUUUUUGGUGCUUCAUUAAGAGAAGUAUAUUUCUUAUCAUGUUUCCUUUUAUUUGACAUGUUAGUCACUUGGUCUGUUCUUUUAUUAAUAGAAUUCGGUGACAUUAAAAUACCUUCGACCUUCUAUGCCUUUCUUUCUGGGGUAGGACUGGGAUUUUUAUGUUGUGCUCUCUGUGAGCAAAAGAAUCACCAUAAACUUUCUGCUCCAUUUCAGCUGUGACUGAUGUUGAUUAAUCUAAUAAUCUAGUGCAAGUUAAAUGGGACUUUUCCUUUUAUCAAUUUCUUUAGGGGCCAAUCAAAUCCUGUGGAUGGCAACAUUAUGGGGAUUUCAGUACUAGAGUUCCCAAAGACCAUGAGUAAGGGAAGCUUUAAACUUAAAAAUGAUAUCAGGAUUUUUAUGUUUGCAAUCAUUGCUUCUUCUGUAUGCAAAAGUUAAAUGUGCCUCUAAUCAUGCAUGAACUUUCUGAAACGAUGAAUGGCUCAUAAAGAAUGGUCUUCACUCAUCAAAUCAUGUUAUGCUAGUUGUACUUAAGCAAUCUGUCAUGUGAUAUUCAUACCAAAGAAAGGAGAGCAAGUGGACCAAAAGCACAAUCUACUGAAUCUUCUCACAAAAUUGCUCUAAGUUUCAGAAGCACUGAAGCAGCAUAAAUAUGUCUGGAUAUUGUACUGCGUUUUUUACCAUGUAUACUCCAUCCUGCUAAGAAUGCUCCACACAAUACUGCUACUAGUCAUCCCUCUAUUUAUUUGGAAGAAAAAGAAAUUAACUUGCUGAAACUGAAUCGUGGUUGGAUUCUCUUUAACGUGAGUACAAAAAAAGAAAGACUGCUGAACUCUGAAUCCUGUUUGCUUACAAUACUUGGCUCUGAAUUUAUUCAUCCAUCUCAAUUAGGCACUUCUUUCAUUUCACAAUAAUAGAUCCUCUUGUUGUCUUUGAUAGUUGGAGUCUUUAGUUAAUGCUUCGAUGAACUAAUAAUGUAUUUGACAAAUGCGUGCGUUUCUUAAAAUAUGUUUGCAGGUUCACUGGGUCAUCCUGGGCUG
This 1156-nucleotide unclassified non-coding RNA is filed under the name Hevea brasiliensis (rubber tree). Lineage: Eukaryota; Viridiplantae; Streptophyta; Magnoliopsida; Malpighiales; Euphorbiaceae. The record is from RNAcentral.